CUUUUUUUAUUAUCAUUUAUCACAUUUCAUAACACCUUUUAAGCAAUUUCAGAUUUCUUCUCCUUUUAUGCCCAUGCCUGAACUCUGGUGUCUUAACUGGACAUAAAAAUUCCAGGGACAAAUUGUUAGAGAGCUUGUUCCUUCUACUGCAAGUGUAUUACUUAAGGCUUCCAAGAAUUCAGAUGAUGGCAAUGAUAUGGAAGUCUUAUUGAGUGGGGUACCUGGCUCAAGCAAGAGGCGGCCAAGGGGAAUGUUCCUCUCUUUAAUGUUAUUGUUCAAUAGUCGAACCAGAACUAUUGCAGUUAUCAUGUCAUAUCAGCUUCACAUCUGCAAAUGUAAUGCUUGGAAACUCUUAUACGGUGAUUCAUUAUUGUUAAUGGUUUCUGUAUCCACCAGAUUUCUGGAGAGUUUGAUUUUACCAGAAGUUGAGUUAUUCAGUGGUCAUUACGGCCCUUUGGGCCAUUGAAACUGGAUACAGAGAGAGUUUUUUUCCACCGCCUGGAAGAUGGCAAUGAAACCCCGCUUGAGUUACAGGAGGCUUGCAGAAGAUGGGGCGGUGAGAGUUUUGGCGAAUGUUGUGGGUCGCUCCAAGAAAUUGCCAAUCGAUGUCUCAGAGAAAGCUUCAGACGAAGAGCUCAAAAAUGCUGAAGUAACAUUUCUGCGUGUCCUUGAGCUUGAAAUUGAAUUUUUGAACAUGAGCCAUGGGGGGCCCUAAAUGAGUUGGUUAGCCUGAAAACCUGACGGAAAAGAAAAUGCAGUCUCGAAUUAUUGGAGAUCAAGACAUACGGUGCUCAUCAGAGAGACGUUGUGGUAGGAACGUCCACGUGGGUAUUGCUCAAUAUUAUAUUAUUGUAAGUCGUAGUUUUUAAAACUUUUAUGAUUUUUAAUCAUUUUAUACCGUUAUUUACACUUCAGCCCUUAAAGUUCAUUUCUAUUGUGUCUUGAUCCCUAGUUCUCAUGAUUGGAGCAUUAGUCUUCAAAC
Populus euphratica (Euphrates poplar) is the source of this 982-nucleotide long non-coding RNA. RefSeq lists it as uncharacterized. Lineage: Eukaryota; Viridiplantae; Streptophyta; Magnoliopsida; Malpighiales; Salicaceae. The record is from RefSeq and is a predicted model, not a curated record. The transcript has 3 exons.